This 62-nucleotide transfer RNA is filed under the name Myosotella myosotis (mouse ear snail). Its description in RNAcentral is "tRNA-Gln". The record is from RNAcentral. Lineage: Eukaryota; Metazoa; Mollusca; Gastropoda; Ellobiida; Ellobiidae.
UCUCUUUCGGUGUUCGGCACGAGAAGAUUUGGUCUUCUAGGAAGGAUUAGACCUAAAGUGAA